ACCUGGGAACUGCAUUUGUGACUGCAUGGCUAGAGUCCGUUAGAGGGGGGUGGAAUUCCACGUGUAGCAGUGAAAUGCGUAGAGAUGUGGAGGAACACCGAUGGCGAAGGCAGCCCCCUGGGAUGAGACUGACGCUCAUGUACGAAAGCGUGGGGAGCAAACAGGAUUAGAUACCCUGGUAGUCCACGCCCUAAACGAUGUCGACUAGUUGUCGGGUCUUUACAGACUUGGUAACGCAGCUAACGCGUGAAGUCGACCGCCUGGGGAGUACGGUCGCAAGAUUAAAACUCAAAGGAAUUGACGGGGACCCGCACAAGCGGUGGAUGAUGUGGAUUAAUUCGAUGCAACGCGAAAAACCUUACCUACCCUUGACAUGGCAGGAACGAGGCAGAGAUGUCUCGGUGCCCG
This 408-nucleotide ribosomal RNA is filed under the name uncultured bacterium. RNAcentral describes it as "bacterial SSU rRNA". It matches the Rfam family "Bacterial small subunit ribosomal RNA", at positions 612 to 1020 of the family's 1533-position model. The record is from RNAcentral.